This 760-nucleotide ribosomal RNA is filed under the name Klebsiella sp. DGR-D1. Its description in RNAcentral is "bacterial SSU rRNA". It matches the Rfam family "Bacterial small subunit ribosomal RNA", at positions 56 to 807 of the family's 1533-position model. The record is from RNAcentral. Lineage: Bacteria; Pseudomonadati; Pseudomonadota; Gammaproteobacteria; Enterobacterales; Enterobacteriaceae.
UGCAAGUCGAACGGUAGCACAGAGAGCUUGCUCUCGGGUGACGAGUGGCGGACGGGUGAGUAAUGUCUGGGAAACUGCCUGAUGGAGGGGGAUAACUACUGGAAACGGUAGCUAAUACCGCAUAACGUCGCAAGACCAAAGAGGGGGACCUUCGGGCCUCUUGCCAUCAGAUGUGCCCAGAUGGGAUUAGCUAGUAGGUGGGGUAACGGCUCACCUAGGCGACGAUCCCUAGCUGGUCUGAGAGGAUGACCAGCCACACUGGAACUGAGACACGGUCCAGACUCCUACGGGAGGCAGCAGUGGGGAAUAUUGCACAAUGGGCGCAAGCCUGAUGCAGCCAUGCCGCGUGUAUGAAGAAGGCCUUCGGGUUGUAAAGUACUUUCAGCGGGGAGGAAGGCGAUAAGGUUAAUAACCUUGUCGAUUGACGUUACCCGCAGAAGAAGCACCGGCUAACUCCGUGCCAGCAGCCGCGGUAAUACGGAGGGUGCAAGCGUUAAUCGGAAUUACUGGGCGUAAAGCGCACGCAGGCGGUCUGUCAAGUCGGAUGUGAAAUCCCCGGGCUCAACCUGGGAACUGCAUUCGAAACUGGCAGGCUGGAGUCUUGUAGAGGGGGGUAGAAUUCCAGGUGUAGCGGUGAAAUGCGUAGAGAUCUGGAGGAAUACCGGUGGCGAAGGCGGCCCCCUGGANNNNGACUGACGCUCAGGUGCNAAAGCGUGGGGAGCAAACNNGAUUAGAUACCCUGGUAGUCCACGCUGUAAAC